Molecule: long non-coding RNA, 814 nt
Organism: Pan troglodytes (chimpanzee)
Lineage: Eukaryota; Metazoa; Chordata; Mammalia; Primates; Hominidae
Source: Ensembl
GUUGACUUUAUCACCUCGGGAUCACUGGGGUUUCGGACGCCUUGCUGCAGGCUUCAUCAUGCGCAUGCGCAUACCCCCUACCUGUUGGGCGCCAAGACCAGGCCGCAGGCCCAGGCCUGUGAGCCGCUUCCAGGAACAUCACCUGGCUGUCUUCCGCCUUGGACCCCAGCCUUCAACUUCCCCUCCCUGUUGUUUAAUCAGUCUUCAUCAAAUGUCAUUUUAGCUAUAUCUACUUAAUAUCCCUGGAAGUCAGAAGUCUCUGUGCAACAGAUAGAACCAACACAUCUCUAUCCGAAGAUAAGUUCCGCUUUCCUCAUUUCAGUUUGAUGAUAAACUCCAUACGUUUGGAUUAAUUGGGAGGAAAGGCAAGAGGCCAUAUAAAAAUGUUUGCAAGUUUGGGUUGUAGACCUAAAAAGGUUUUAAAAGGUCUAAGAAGAAGUGUAGACCACAGCAGUCUGGCCCGGUGGAGAUGGUGGUGGUGAGAUGCAGGGAGAUGGAGAGAAAAAUGGGAGCAGCACCUUUCUUUACAAAGCCAAAAGCUACAUCCCCAUUGACCUAGAUGUCAUAAGAGUUUUUUUUUCCCCAAAGGGCACCAUGAUGGAGAAUCGGCUUUCCCAAGGACACACAUACCUUUGUCACACCAAGCACCACCUUGUCCUCAGACUGUUCUUGUACUGGCUUUGUUUACAAGCCAGAUCUUUUUUUAAAUGAGAAAAAUCAAAUGUUCACUUAAGAAGUGAAAUUUGAAUAAAAUUACAGUUUCAGGCAAAGCCUAUAUUAUUUUUAAAAUCAGCGAAUAAAGCAAGGGAUAUUA